Long non-coding RNA from Daphnia magna, 6687 nucleotides. RefSeq lists it as uncharacterized. The transcript has 3 exons. The record is from RefSeq and is a predicted model, not a curated record. Lineage: Eukaryota; Metazoa; Arthropoda; Branchiopoda; Diplostraca; Daphniidae.
CUCCUUAAAAAGUUAAACUAUUAAUAUUUUCUACCCACAGAUAGCUUUUUCAAAAUAAAUCGGUGUUCACCUUUUUGUGCAGGAUACUGUACCCUAACGUGCUGCAUAGCAUAACACAACGAGAUGGAUUCAAUAUCCUCAAGAGAAGGCAGCGUUCAAACUGUAAAGUUUAACGGAAAGAACUUCAACAUAUGGAAGUACAGUCUGUUCAUCAGACUACGAGAACAUGAUCUAGUUCCCAUUGUAGAAAGAACAAGACCAAGACUAGCAGUGGUCCGAGUAGCUGGAGAAGUCACCAAUCAAGCUCAGAUAGACGCAUGGUCAAAGGAUGAUAACUUGGCUAUCCAUUAUCUUUUUAAUACAUGCCUCGAAGAACAACAAAGUUCAUUGCUGACCUGCAAAACUUCCAACGCUAUAUGGGCAUCAAUCACAAGCCAAUACCAGCGAAACUCUAUUGAGAGGAGGCAUGCUAUCCAACAGCAAUUUCUGAACCUUACCUUCAACGCUGAGCACGGUGUAAGAGCUCACGUGGAAAGAAUAAAACUUCUCUCAAAGGAAUUGACAGAUGCAGGGUGCCCAACAGACGAGGGAAGCAUCUGCAACAAGAUUCUUACAUCCCUGUCAGACGCUUUUGUCGGUUUCUUCACCGCUUGGGAAAGCACUACAGCCGCUGACAGAACUUUGGCAAAUUUAAAGACAAGGCUAUGUAACGAAGAAGAAAGAAACAAACGACGACGUGGAAACGGUAGUAGCAGCUCAGAUAACCAAGCAUUCUGGGGCGGACCACCAAACUCACCCCAAUCUUUUGCUCCCGGUCCCUCUAACCGAAGUUCCUCAAAUAACAAUUCGAGACCCUACCCACCACACACCACAAGGAGGACGGCAAAGACACAGAGGAGGAAGGAGAGGAUCUGGUGGUCGAAACGUUCACUUCGAGUCGUCAAAUCAAGGAAACCCAAGAAGAAAUGGUAACUGCAACUACUGCGACAUUUCCGGCCACUGGGAAAAAGAAUGUCAUUUCAAGAAGCUAGAUGACGCCACGCUAGCGAAUACUCAAGCCAACUCAGCUUUAUACGAGAAGAGAGACCCGACCGCAAAUUUCGUUCAACUAGAACACACACCCUUCACCGGCCCGAUCGUCGGUCUCGUCGCUCACUCAGCAUGUUUAUCAUCUCACGCUCCCCCGAACAGCGAUUUUUAUCUGGACUCAGGCGCCACCCAACACAUGUCCCAUCAACGCUCACUAUUCACUAAUUUUCAACCCAUCCAACCGGGACUAAGAUGGAUAAGUGGAAUUGGACAAAGUCAUGUCGAGAUCCUCGAGACAGGAAACAUCAUUAUCACGUCGUUGGCGGAAGGAGCUCAUCAAACCAUCACUCUUCUCGACGCUCUAUACGCUCCCAGUCUCGGAAUUAACCUAGUCUCCGUUGGAUCUAUCACAGCCAAAGGAGGAGAGAUACGUUUUACCAAAUCUCACGUAAACGUCGUUCGAGAUGGAAACCUGCUACUUACUGGCAAACGCGUCGGCGAAACUCUAUACCGACUCAAUAUUUCUAAUACGAAUACCAGAGAUGCCAACCCACAUCCAGUCGUCGCAUCACUCUCAGCUCUCACGAAAUCAUCUCCUAAUUCCAUUCAAGAGUGGCACCAACGCCUUGCACAUCUAAACUACCAAACGAUUAUCAAAAUGGCACACAGCGACGCAGUAGUCGGGCUCGACCUCCCAACCGGAGCUGAGCUCCCAACAGAGAGCUGUCAUGAUUGCACCGCGGGUAAACUGAAGCGGAAAUCGUUCAACCUAAGCUCCACACCCAAAUUCUCCCGCAUUGGUCAAUUAAUCUCUUGUGACGUAUGGGGCCCUGCCCAAGUCCCAAGUAUCGAAGGAGCUCUGUACUGCUCCAAUUUUUGAGACGGCUGCAGGGACUAUCGAGCCGCAUAUUUCCUCAAGGCAAAGUCGGAGGUUGCCGUAUGGGUCAGAGAUUUUAUCAAUCGACUUCACCCACAGACUCGGGAGCUGGUAUCAUGCAUCCGAACUGACGGAGGAAAGGAAUACGGGUCAAACGAACUCGAGUCGUGGCUUCGAAAGAAAGGAAUCAGACACGAGACCACCAUCCGCCACACACCGCAGCAGAAUGGACUAGCAGAGAGGGAUAACCGCACUUUAUUUCAAGGUGUCAGAACACUCCUCGCCUCCAACAAAUCUCUGCCCAUCAACCUCGGGGCGGAAGCUGCCAAUCACAAGAUUAUAUCCUAAACCAGUCGCUAUCCAGCACCUGCCCCACUAUGACUCCACAGGAAGCCUGGUAUAAUGUAAAACCCGAUCUGUCAACUCUGCGUAUAUUCGGCUCCGAAUUCUACGUGCUGGUGCCAAAACUAAUCAGAGAAGGUAAACUCGAGAACAUCUGACUUCUCGUGUAUUUCGUAGGUAACUCUGAAACACAAAAAGGUGAACGUUACUAUGACCCGUCAUCAAAAAAGGUAAACACAAGCCGCGAUACUACGUCAAUUCAAAGUCACUACCAACCCCAUCUAUCUUCUUCCGAUCCAAUGACCGUGCAAAGCAACGUAGAAGUUUUUCCCCAGAAUGGCGCAUGCAACCACGAUUCGGCGCAUCCAGAAACCGAAUCAUCGACUCUUUCUCAGAAAAAUGAUGCAAUAUGUGAUCUCGAAUAUGCCGCGAACCACGGGCAAGCAACGGACGUCAACCUCGUCAGACCAUCGCCAUCGCUCCCAUAUCAAGACGCACAACAAACUACGCCGACCACACCGCCAGCAAAGAAGCGGAGAUCAGUGCGUAUUCGAACCAUCGAGGAAGAAUCUCAAGUAAUUGGCAGUUCCCCACUUCCAAUCCUUCGUCGCUCCUCCCGUGUGCCACAACCAAAGCACAUCAUCAGCAUGCACGCAGCUUUCACAGUCGAUACUGCUCUCACCCUGGAGGAAGAGCCGGACCAGUACCAGGAUGCCAUGACCAGCAACAAGGUUUCAGAAUGGAAGGCAGCCACCCAGAGGGAAUAAGACUCGCUAAUAAAAAAUCAUACAUGGAACCUCGUGUCGCUUCCCACCAAUCGCUCGCUGAUAUGGGCUCGGUGGACCUUUAAGAUCAAGCCGGCGUUCAAGGCGUCUGAGAAAAUCUACAAAGCCCGCUUCGUCGCUAAGGGCUAUUCUCAAUGUCCUGGCAUCGACUACAAGGAAUCUGAAAUCUACUCUCCUGUAUUAAAACAUGACUAUUUCCGCGUCAUGUACUCCAUUGCCGCGGUCCACGAUCUCGAAUUAUUUCAACUGGACGUAAAGACCGUGUUCCUAUACGGCGAUUUGGACGAGGAGCUAUACGUCGAGCAGACCGAAGGCUUCGUCGAACUCGGUAAAGAAAAUUUAGUCUGUCGCCUACAGAAACACCUAUAUGGUCUCGUCCAGUCGGCAAGGAAAUGGAACGAGAAGUUCGAUUCGUUCAUCACACAGUUCGGCAUGAAACGUUCGAUUUCCGACCCAUGUAUAUAUUUCAACCAAGGCGAAACAACCGAUGAUCUCACCCUGCUAGGCAUCUGGGUGAAUGACGGCAUUUAAGCAACCAAGACAAAAGAAAGGGCUACUGCGAUCAUCCAGUAACUGGAGACAUUCUUCGAGAUGACAUCCAAGCCAGCCAACCUCUUCAUUGGGCUGGAAAUCACCAGGAAACGAGAAGAAAGGAAGAUUUUUAUUCCCCAGCCAAACUACAUCCGAUCUCUCCUACACAAAUUUAAAAUGACAGAUUGCAACCCAAAAAGCGUUCCAGCCGACCCUGGGUCUCGCCUAUCAGUGAUUGAUUGCCCUUUACGCUGUGGCGUAACACCUCUCUCCUCAACUCCAUACCGGUUAGCCGUCGGAGGGCUCAUGUACGCAGCAAAGAAGACACGGCCCGAUAUCCUAUUUGCCGUUACCGCCGCCUCCCGCUAUAACCAAGAUCCCGGAAACGCUCACUGGUCAGCGGUGAAACGAAUCCUUUCUUAUCGGCACAAUCAAUCACGGACUUUUUUACAGCGAGACGGAUUCGGCGGACCUUCUCGUCGCUUACUCCGACUCCGACUUUGCUGGCUACCCGGACACCAGGAGGUCAACCUCCAGGCUAAUUUUCACUUUUAAUGGAGGGCCCGUCUCCUGGACAAGCAACCUACAGAAACCUACCGCUAACUCAACUGCAGAAGCGGAAUAUUACGCGGCAGGACACGCUUCCAGAGAGAUCGCCUGGCUAAGAAGCCUACUGAAAGAAAUAGGUUUCGAACAACUCGCACCUACACCUCUUUUGUGCGACAACAAGAGUAUGAUGCUCAUGGUACAGAAUCCCGUCUUCCAUGAUCGCACAAAACACAUCGAUAUAAAGUACCACUAUGUUCGUCAGCAGUAUAAGCCAAAGUCAUCGAGCUACUAUCCGUUCGUUCCAAAGAUGAAUUGGCAGACUUGCUAACGAAGCCCCUAAAGCCUCAAGAGCUUAGAUUGAAUCGAUCUCGCAUCGGCGUCGUUCCAGUCCCACAAGAUUAGGACGACAUCAACAGAACAUGCGGAUCACAGCAACAACAAAUAAUUUUUUUUUAUUCCUUUUUUUUUUUAUGCCGUGCCACUAUAUUGGAUUAAGGGGAAGUAUCGCCUCAUGUUUUGGUUUGAGGGGAAGUGUUAGAAUUCACACAACAAAACAUAUCUCCGCAUCCCGUUCGUCUUUUUUUCCUCUCCCACCUGACGUCACAAACGUCAAUCGUGCGUUUCUAGUGUCGUCAUCGUUCUGCGUCUUUUGUGCUACACAUCAAGAAACGUUUAUAUACUCUCUCUCCUCUGUCCUUGUUGGGAAGUUAUUCGUCUCUAUUUCUCUCACUCAUACUUUCUCAUCUUGGAUAUAAUUCCCGACUGAUAUUGCAUUUGAGCUGUAUCGAGCAUUUCACCCUCGCUGUGACGAGACGGCACUGAUAGAACCUCUGAUCUACCAAGAGACGCCAUCUCUUACUACGAAAACAAGGAUCAAGUCUUCCCGAAGAAUAUCAAGAUAAAUAGCUUUUUUUCGUCAACUGAAGAAAUUCAAACACAUUGAAAUCGAGAACCGAGCAAUAUCAAAGAUACUACCUAUUCACCAACAAAUACUACCUUAAAGUGUUCGGCUCUUUGUUUUACUAGAACAACCGCUUGAUCUGCUGUUAACUUCAGACCAUCAUGCAUCAAAAAGCAGUUCAACAACCACCUUUCCAACACCCUUAUUAAGUCCAUUCUACCAAAAUAUUGGGAGCAAUUCAAGAAAUUUGAAAAGAACCUUACAGCUUUAAAAGGUCACUACUGUAUUCAGCGAUUCAGCGAUCCAUUAAACCACCCAAGGCCCAAUGUAAAGAUGAAAAAUACCACUUAUCUCAACCAUACCUCUAUGCUUAAUCCAAAUUGGAAAUUAAGACGACGUCACCAACCAUCUCCAAUCGCCGAUUCUUGACCAAGUUUUCGUCAUUCUCAUCGUACUUCCAAACACAAUUUACUAUCACCAACAUGUUCAUCAGCACAAGUGACUCAACAGCCAUCAAGGAAAGAUAUUUAUCCACGGAUAUUUGACCCAUCACGGAAAGGAAAUUCACCCACGGACUAUCGAUCAAUGCAUUUACUGUUUAAAAUGACUUCGCUGACAUCACCAUUCUUUUUCUAAUUCCCUUUACUAUUUUAUUUUUCACAGCAACCUAAGCCUUAAAACUAACUUUAAAGGUCUAAUAUCAAAUUUAGUUUUCAUCGGUGCACACACAAAAAUCAACAAAAAUUAUAUACAAUUAUCCUCCUCCAGACGGAGUGCAUCCCUCAUUAUCCUUCGACUGCCGCGAUGAUGUGCUAAGAAAUAGACAUUGUCCCAGUCACCAUUCUCCCCUUUCUGAGAGCAAGGUGUACUAGGUUUAGACACCCCCUCUCAGCCACAAGAGCUAACGAACUGAAGAAGACGUCUGAAUCCGAAGAGACCACGUCGAGUUCAACGCUCAUGCAUCUACGGACAUUUCAGCCCUGGACCUGCCUAUGUUACAGACGUUUCUGGCAUUACAGAUACCGGGUGGAUCUCCGCAUUCUUGGACCUCUUGAUUCUCGCCGCUGCGGAAAACACGUCCCCUCUUCAAAAAUUCAAAAAAAAAUGUCGCACCUUUGUUUUCCCGAUUCAUAUUUAACCUAUAUCUUUUAUAGAUUGCAGGACGCAAUCUUUCGGCACGGGAUGUUAUGUGAGGAACGGUAAGCCGCGUUCCUUACAUCCCUUUCUCCUUUCCCAAGCUUACAACCCUUUUCCCCUCUUCCGCCGAUAGUUCAUCUACCGAUGGCUCCGGCCUUCAAUCUCCCUUCUACCUGGCCUUCAAACGUGUGAAUUCUCCACAUAGGUGUUACAUUUAAACACAAAAUAUUAAUUCCCUUUGCGACACCUAACCCUAAGUGACCUUGCUCCUUCGUAUAAAUGUUGCCCCUUUCCAGAUUGUCAGUCAGUCUCUCUUGCAGUCUUCUGCAGUCUUCAUCAGCAGUCAGUCUUGUGUCAGUCUUGUGUCAGUCUUGUGCCCUACUUGUGCCAGUCAUGUUCCAGUCGCUUUUCGUUCAUCUUUGAGUCUCUUUGCAGUCUUCGUCAGUAAGUCUCUUUUAAUCGGACUCGUCUUGUUAACUGUUAUCUCGGUCUUUGGCAAAAACUUUGUGCAACAAUAAACUCAUAAUCAUCACACA